Pectinophora gossypiella (pink bollworm) is the source of this 1978-nucleotide long non-coding RNA. RefSeq lists it as uncharacterized. NCBI's taxonomy places the organism in Eukaryota, Metazoa, Arthropoda, Insecta, Lepidoptera, Gelechiidae. The transcript has 2 exons. The record is from RefSeq and is a predicted model, not a curated record.
UUCCCUAACAAACGUGUCACGUGAUUUUGUUCAUAUUUUGACAUAAAGUCACGACUUAUUUGGGUUCACAUAUUAGCACCAAUCGACAAAACGACAUAAUUAUAUCGUCAGAAUCGAUAAAACGACCGUGACAAAAUUUUAUUGUGUUGCGCAUCUUAGCCCUACAGAAAAACGCUUGAGGUUUUAACUAAAGCGACCUUAUGUAGGUAGGCAAAAAUCUCUGUUAAAAUACUUUUGAAAUACUUACCGAUCUUCUGACAGUACUUAUCAAAAAUUCUCACAAGUUUGUCACUGUCAAAAAUUAUCCGUUUACCUUCGUAAUUUUAGUAAUUAUUUAAAAUUCACCGUACUUUUACAAUGGACACACCACAGCAUAGUUUAUCUCGAGCAAACAGUGCCACUUCUACUGAAAGCGGCAAAGUUUUCGACAAAUAUAAAUCUUGGUAUAAAGUCGAUAUUGAUGGCGCGUAUAUUACGAAGAACUAUGAUGCAACUUGGACCGCACCGAAAAGGAAAAAACCACACAGGAUUCGCAAGAAGAUCGUCGUGCAGAAUUUACCAUACAACAAGGAACAAGCGAAAGAAAAAAUACUGUAUGGAAAACCAAAAGACACCGUACUCAACCACAAAGUUAUACUCGAUUUUGCCGUUCAAUUAUUCGUCGUAUUAAUCUUCAUACUAAUGACUUACUGUGGUUAUGUGUACAUAGUACCAUUUGAUCCUUUAUUAUUCACCCAAGACUAUCUAAACAGCAAUAGUUAUGACGGAAUUUAUUAAUUUAGUCCGACAAUGUUCAAUAUAAUUCUAGUCAAUAAUAUAAUUAUUGUAGCAUCCCACCUGUAUCCUGUGUCUACCCCGACAGAGGUGAAUAGUACACCCACUCACAGACAGACAUAAGACACAGAAAGACACAGGACACAGACAGACACAUGACAUGGACAAGCACAAGACAUGUACAGACACACAACACAGAUAGACACAUGACACGAACAGGCCCAGGAUACAGACAGACACAUACAGACACACGACACAGAUAGACACAUACCGUAGGAUCGUAGUAAGUGGAAUACCGGGGUCUCUGCCUACACCAAUCGAAAAAAGGCGUGACGUGAGUGAAGUAUUGCAAUGCACCUUCACGCAUCCUAUUCCUGCCUCUGCCCACCCUUAUAAGAAUCAUGGGCGUGUAUUUAUUAACUUAUGUACUUACUUCCUUCGUUUAUUAUAUUAAUAUCAGGUCACUGCGUUGAUUUAACACAGUUCAUAAAGGACAAAAGUAAGUAAAUUACUUUUUGCGUUUUUAGAUUUUUACAAAUAAAGCUUUUGUAAAGUAAGAAAUCGAAAUAAAACAAAUAAUGUUGUUAUUUAAUAUAAAUGUUAACUUUAUUUAUUGUCAACAGCUUUAGGUAUAUGUUUAGUGUAAAUAAAUGAAUAAUGAGAAAUAAAAAAUCCAAAAAAAAAUAAACAGUUUAAAAUAGUGUCAUUUUCUUUUUCAUACUAAAAGCCAUAUUUUUUCUAUAAAAUUUUUUGGCGGGAACGGGACAGUUGCUUUCUUCAUUGAAUAAUCUAAAUAAUUAAUACGAAGUGGUGUUUUGUGGUUAAUGAUCGCAUUAAGUUAGUCGGAAGACAUUCGCGAGUGUUAUUAUGUCGGAGUGUUCAAUAAACAAAGUGUAUCAGCCUAUUUUCGCUUCGUAGCAGGAAGCCGCUUCAUUACUCGAAAGUUUAUGCGGACUUUUGAGUUAAUUCGUUUGGGGUUUGGAGUAGGAGUCUACUCCAAGGGUGGGGGCUUAGGUUUCAUCAUCAUCACCUUUCAUGAUUUCAUUAAUCAUCAAGAAAAAAAAAGUAAGACAUGGCUGUAUGGGCAUAGUUCCCUUUGGCUUACCCUUCGGGAAAAAAAAAAACUAUAAACAUUUGAAUGAGGGAAUUUCCAGGCUACUUUCACCAUAAUAUAGAUGGCGUUAUUGUACAACUUUAACGUGAU